UCAAGUGUCUUAAGGGCAAUUGGUGGAUGCCUUGGCAUGCACAGGCGAUGAAGGACGUGAUACGCUGCGAUAAGCUACGGGGAGGUGCGAAUACCCUUUGAUCCGUAGAUUUCCGAAUGGGGAAACCCACCUAAGGUGCUUGGAAAAUCAGAGCAGCCAGUGGUCGACAAGGCCAACUUGCUGCUGUGGUUUCCAAGGAUCUGUUAUAGGUAACUUAUCCUGAAUACAUAGGGAUAAAGUGGCGAACGCGGGGAACUGAAACAUCUAAGUACCCGUAGGAAAGGACAUCAACCGAGACUCCGGCAGUAGUGGCGAGCGAACCCGGACCAGGCCAGUGGCGAUGAUGAGACAAGCGGAACCUUCUGGAAAGUAGGGCCAUAGUGGGUGACAGCCCCGUACGCGUAAUGCAAAUCAUCGUCCUCGAGUAAGGCGGGACACGUGAAAUCCUGUCUGAAAUUGGGGGGACCACCCUCCAAGCCUAAGUACUCGUGCAUGACCGAUAGCGAACUAGUACCGUGAGGGAAAGGUGAAAAGCACCCCGACAAGGGGAGUGAAAGAGUACCUGAAACCGAUUGCCUACAAACAGUGGGAGUCCAAGGUUCGUCCUGGGUGACCACGUACCUUUUGUAUAAUGGGUCAGCGACUUAGUGUGACGAGCAAGCUUAAACCGCUAGGUGUAGGCGCAGCGAAAGCGAGUCUGAACAGGGCGUUCAGUUCGUCGCAUUAGACCCGAAACCGAGUGAUCUAGCCAUGAGCAGGUUGAAGGUAAGGUAACACUUACUGGAGGACCGAACCCAUAACUGUUGCAAUAGUUCGGGAUGACUUGUGGCUAGGGGUGAAAGGCCAAUCAAACUCGGAAAUAGCUGGUUCUCCGCGAAAUCUAUUUAGGUAGAGCGUCGACCGAAUACCCCAGGGGGUAGAGCACUGGAUGGGCUAGGGGUCCUCACCGGAUUACCAAACCUAACCAAACUCCGAAUACCUGGGAGUACUAGUCGGCAGACACACGGCGGGUGCUAACGUCCGUCGUGAAAAGGGAAACAACCCUGACCUACAGCUAAGGUCCCCAAGUUAUGGCUAAGUGGGAAAGGAUGUGAGGAUCCCAAAACAACCAGGAUGUUGGCUUAGAAGCAGCCAUCAUUUAAAGAAAGCGUAACAGCUCACUGGUCUAAAUAAGGGUCUUUGCGCCGAAAAUGUAACGGGGCUCAAGCCAUACACCGAAGCUUAGGGUUCGUGAGCAAUCACGAGCGGUAGCGGAGCGUUCUGUAAGCUGAUGAAGCCAUACCCGUGAGGGGUGGUGGAGGUAUCAGAAGUGCGAAUGCUGACAUGAGUAACGUAAGGGGAGUGAGAGACUCCCCCGCCGAAAGUCCAAGGGUUCCUGCUUAAAGCUAAUCUGAGCAGGGUUAGCCGGCCCCUAAGUCGAGGCAGAAAUGCGUAGACGAUGGGAACCACGUUAAUAUUCGUGGGCCUGGAGGAAGUGACGGAUCAUUGAGGUAGUCCAAUCUUAUCGGAUUGAACGGGCUGCUGCGUGGUUCCAGGAAAUAGCUCCUCCUUAUAGACCGUACCCGAAACCGACACUGGUGGACUGGUAGAGUAUACCAAGGCGCUUGAGAGAACUAUGCUGAAGGAACUCGGCAAAUUGCACGCGUAACUUCGGAAGAAGCGUGACCCUUUUCCACGCAAGUGGAGGAGGGUGGCACAGACCAGGGGGUAGCGACUGUUUAUCAAAAACACAGGGCUCUGCGAAGUCGCAAGACGACGUAUAGGGUCUGACGCCUGCCCGGUGCUGGAAGGUUAAGAGGAGGGGUGCAAGCUCUGAAUCGAAGCCCCAGUAAACGGCGGCCGUAACUAUAACGGUCCUAAGGUAGCGAAAUUCCUUGUCGGGUAAGUUCCGACCUGCACGAAUGGCGUAACGACUUCCCCGCUGUCUCCAGCAUAGACUCAGUGAAAUUGAAUUCCCCGUGAAGAUGCGGGGUUCCUGCGGUUAGACGGAAAGACCCCGUGCACCUUUACUAUAGCUUUACAUUGGCAUUCGUAGUGGCAUGUGUAGGAUAGGUGGUAGGCUUUGAAACCUGGGCGCCAGCUCAGGUGGAGCCACCCUUGAAAUACCACCCUUAUCACUAUGGAUGUCUAACCGCGGCCCGUCAUCCGGGUCCGGGACAAUGUAUGGUGGGUAGUUUGACUGGGGCGGUCGCCUCCUAAAGAGUAACGGAGGCGCGCGAUGGUGGGCUCAGAACGGUCGGAAAUCGUUCGCUGAGUGCAAUGGCAUAAGCCUGCCUGACUGCGAGACUGACAAGUCGAGCAGAGACGAAAGUCGGUCAUAGUGAUCCGGUGGUCCCGCGUGGAAGGGCCAUCGCUCAACGGAUAAAAGGUACGCCGGGGAUAACAGGCUGAUGACCCCCAAGAGUCCAUAUCGACGGGGUUGUUUGGCACCUCGAUGUCGACUCAUCGCAUCCUGGGGCUGGAGCAGGUCCCAAGGGUAUGGCUGUUCGCCAUUUAAAGCGGUACGUGAGUUGGGUUCAGAACGUCGUGAGACAGUUCGGUCCCUAUCUGCCGUGGGUGUAGGAAUAUUGAAAGGAUCUGUCCCUAGUACGAGAGGACCGGGAUGGACGGAUCUCUGGUGGACCUGUUGUGGCGCCAGCCGCAUAGCAGGGUAGCUAUAUCCGGACGGGAUAACCGCUGAAGGCAUCUAAGCGGGAAACCCACCUUAAAACGAGUAUUCCCUGAGAACCGUGGAAGACGACCACGUUGAUAGGCCGGGUGUGGAAGAGCGGCAACGCUUGAAGCUUACCGGUACUAAUAGUUCGAUCGGCUUGAUCGU
This 2818-nucleotide ribosomal RNA is filed under the name Mesorhizobium prunaredense. RNAcentral describes it as "bacterial LSU rRNA". It matches the Rfam family "Bacterial large subunit ribosomal RNA". The record is from RNAcentral. Lineage: Bacteria; Pseudomonadati; Pseudomonadota; Alphaproteobacteria; Hyphomicrobiales; Phyllobacteriaceae.